This 377-nucleotide ribosomal RNA is filed under the name uncultured eukaryote. RNAcentral's name for it is "partial 18S ribosomal RNA". It matches the Rfam family "Eukaryotic small subunit ribosomal RNA", at positions 592 to 976 of the family's 1831-position model. The record is from RNAcentral.
CAAUAGCGUAUAUUAAAGUUGUUGCAGUUAAAAAGCUCGUAGUUGGAUUUCGGGGCAGCCUGGCUGGUCCGCCGCAAGGCGAGUACUGGUCAGCCGCCCUUCCUCUCGAAAGCCCCGACUGCUCUUUACUGUAGUGGUCGGGUAGUUCGGGACGUUUACUUUGAAAAAAUUAGAGUGUUCAAGGCAGGCCUACGCCUGAAUACAUUAGCAUGGAAUAAUGGAAGAGGACCUCGGUCCUAUUUUGUUGGUUUCCAGGGCCGAAGUAAUGAUUAAGAGGGACAGUUGGGGGCAUUCGUAUUUAAUUGUCAGAGGUGAAAUUCUCGGAUUUAUGAAAGACGGACAACUGCGAAAGCAUUUGCCAAGGAUGUUUUCAUUAA